CAUAUAUGUGAAACACUGUUAAAUAUAUUGAAAUACAUUUUUAAAAUAUAUUUUUAAAAUGCAUAACAUAAAGCUCAUAUUGUGUUUAAUUGUGUUUACAUGUGAAAUUAUAUUCAUGCCUCAUAUGAUAUUAUAUUAUAUUAUAUGUUAUAUUAUAGAAUAGUAUAUCCUGUUGUUUUAGUUAUAUACAACUGACUUCAAACAAUGUUUUGCAUUCACUGCUUUCAUAUUCUCAUUCAAUUUACAGUUUGAUGUAGGCCUACUAAACAAUACAUGAUGAAGUUUCAGGACAUUUUAUUUGACUUUUGUACUAUUUAUGUAAAUGCAUAACUUUGAUGUGUUUUAGGCCAUGCUGGCCAAUCAGAAGCCUGACAAAGUUUCAAGUAGGCGAAGAUAACAGCGCAGGCUCCGACGUCACAAGCCAAAAACUCUGGUUUUGCUGUCUAACGUUACAUGAUAACACUGCAACCGGAGUUUUUUAAAAUCUUCUCCCUGGCAGGAGUUUUCAAAAUGUUCGGUUUCAGUGACCUGGUGCAGCGCUUGCCUGAGGACGAACGGCCAAACCGCAUAGAAAAAGCUGCUGUUUUGAAAAUAACCGCGUUCGUGUGGACGGCCAAUGAGCGCGCGCGUUGAGCAUUCAAAUCGCAUUUAAACUGAAGCGGAGGAGGUUACCAUGGUAACAGGGCGUCAACUCACUCAGCUGACAAGAAGCAAGAGGCUGUCUCUCUGCUGUUUUCACUGCUUUCAGGAGUGUUUUGGUGUCUUCAAAAAGACCGUUAGCAUCACAACCGUUAACUAUGGAGGCUAACAAUUAGAGAGCUGGAGCGGAGCGGAUCUCCUGUGGAAGAACAUCUCCAAAGCGCCAUGAACCAUCUGACUAGGCAGUUCGUGAAGACGGAUAACCUGGACAGAAGUCAGUUCCAGAUCCAGCCUCCACCCCAGACUUCUCACUCACAAGGAUUGCUGUCUACUAGAUAUGUGUACUCUUCAGACUUAGGUUCAUGCAGAUAUUAUUCAGGGACAUGAACACUUGAAUAUUGCAAAAAUAGAGAAACUACCUUAUUUAAGAAUUUUGUGUUAAUUGCGUGAACAUUAAACAAAUAUAUAUUUAUUUUACUGUUUUUUGUUUUGUAUUCCAAAGCACCUAAAAGCCAAUUCACACUGCCA
Onychostoma macrolepis is the source of this 1167-nucleotide long non-coding RNA. RefSeq lists it as uncharacterized. The transcript is spliced from 4 exons. NCBI's taxonomy places the organism in Eukaryota, Metazoa, Chordata, Actinopteri, Cypriniformes, Cyprinidae. The record is from RefSeq and is a predicted model, not a curated record.